Molecule: ribosomal RNA, 253 nt
Filed under: uncultured bacterium
Lineage: Bacteria
Description: partial 16S ribosomal RNA
Rfam family: Bacterial small subunit ribosomal RNA
Source: RNAcentral
UACAGAGGGGGCAAGCGUUGUUCGGAAUUACUGGGCGUAAAGGGCGCGUAGGCGGCCUGCUAAGUCGAACGUGAAAUCCCUGGGCUCAACCCAGGAACUGCGUCCGAUACUGGUUGGCUUGAAUCCGGGAGAGGUGAGUGGAACUGCGAGUGUAGAGGUGAAAUUCGUAGAUAUUCGCAAGAACACCAGUGGCGAAGGCGGCUCACUGGCCCGGUACUGACGCUGAGGUGCGAAAGCGUGGGGAGCAAACAGG